CUACCAAUCCACUCAGGAAUGAGAUUCCUCCCAAAGUCCUCACUUGGGGAACGCAAUUGACAAUGAGUAGAAAUGUCAUUAUUCUGAUUCAUUGUCUGGAACGACUAAAUGUUUGCACUAGUUUCCCUCAAAAUUUAUUUUUGUUACAUUUUAUAAGUAUAUAUGACAAAUCCCCCGCACACCCCAUUCAAUGUUGUUUCGGUCGCAGUAAUGUUGUGCCAGUUUUCCAGCUAUUCAGUUGUUACAUAAAACAAUGUUUAAUGGGGGGGGGGGGGGGAGGAGGUGAUAUAAGGAGAAAAACGCCCGUCGUUCUAUGGUUUUUGGCCAGGAUUGUAGAAAGCCGCAAAACUAAUAAUUGCAAUCUGUAUAUUACACACCAAAAGUAUAUUUAGAUACGAAUUACACUUAGUCUAAGUAUAUGAGUUUGUAUGCAUUUCAUUUAGGACAGAUAAAAUAACUGUUUUAGGGCAAGUUGACCAUGACGGUCGACAUGGUAACGCUGCCCGAACCCCAAUCCGGGGCGAAACGUCCAAACCUGACCACACCCAAAAAUGACGCUCUCGCCAUAGUGCUAUCUACCAAACCAUAAAAGCUUUGACUAUUCUGAGGUGCUUAUAUGGUUCAGAGAUGAUGCUUUUAGGGGUGGUCAUUGGUAAGUGUGAAAUGCCUAGCACUGAUAUUUCACAAGAAAAUGACCAUGCAAUACUCGUAGUCAAACGUCAAUUUGUGACUCAAAUUCAGAUAAACAGCAGUGGACCUACAUUACCUUUUUUCCUAAAUCUUUUUUAUAGAAACAUAAUUGGUACUUAUUUAAGUAUAUUGACACUGUUUUGCUGUAAAAUAGUUAAUACUUUGUGACCGCAAAUGGACGUAUUUGGCCAAAUUCUCCAAUUUUAAAACUCCGCUGUUUAUCGCCAAUCUCGUUGAAACCUUCCAAAUAUGUACGGCAGCUCAGACAUAAUGGUAUCGAGCACAUUUUAAACAAGUUUUAAAUAGGUUUCAAGCAGAUCCUAGCUGUUUAUUAGGGACCAUUCAUUAUUUAUGACCGGGGGUGGGCUGGCAAAAUUCAAUUAACAACUAACCAAAAUGUCUUGCCCCACCCCCUGCAUCACACAAAAUUCAAUGACCCCCUUCACAUGAAUUCUAAAAAAUAGUCCCCCCCCAAUAUAAUAAAUGUACAGUACUGUAUAGAAAUGAGCUCUUUAAACUUGUUGUAAAAAGCAUCAGAUCUUUCAUUUACUUGUGCUUUCAACAAUUAAUAUGCAUGCCUAUAGGCAAAAACGCAAAAAAGUUGCCGAGCACAAUCGGGACAUGCCUAGCAGAGCUUCCCUGUUGACGAGUAAAAACGGUUAGGAGUAUAGGGUUAGGGUACCGUCUUUUUUAUUAAAAUGUACAUAAUUGAAAUAUGACAAAAAUUUAUGGCAAGUUCAUGGCAAAAGUUAUAAGGUAGAUUGCUUUAAUUUGCCACGCGAGACUUGUAUGGAAUGUUUUGAAAGACUCGUAAACAACAUUUUAUAGGGUGAUAAAAUGCUGCAUUUUUUCUAUUUUGUUUACAUAUUUAUUUUGAUACCCUUAACAAAGGGUUCAAUUUGUUAUUAGUGGAAUGAAAAUGGCUUGGAUGGAAGAAUAACAAGGCCGAAUGCACCAUUUGCAUUAUAGACUAAAUUUUGAUCUAGACAAAAAUUUCAUCACAGCUUGAAAGAGCAUCACAAAAUUAGUAAUAUUCCAAAGUUUCGUUGCGAAAUGUUGUAAAAUACGGAUAAUAUAGCCUUGCGAAAUUUGCAAUUUUCAGUCAUUUUGUAUUACAAACGGGAAAUUGAUGCCCCAACACCCGAUUGGGCUGUCAAUUUCCCGUGCGUAAUACAAAAUGAGUGAAAAACGGUCAUUUUCUUGUAAAAUAUCAGUGCUAGGCAUUUCACACUUACCAAUGACCACCCGUAAAAGCACCAUCUCUGAACCAUAUAAGCACCUCAGAAAAGCCAAAGCUUUUAUGGUUUGGUAGAUAGCACUAUGGCGAGAGCGUCGUUUUUAAUUGGGUGUGGUCAGUUUUGGACGUUUCGCCCCGGAUUGGGGUUCGUAUUAGUUCGAUAACAGUUCGUAUUUCCUUCUUGUACCACUGCUUUUUUGGUGCUGCUUACAUGAAAACUGACUUCAUACAAUGAUUACAACUGUUCACUGUAGUUGCUGUAUUUAUAUAAUUUAUUCCCUCCCUCAUUUCGGUAUGGAACGCUAGCAUAAAUCGUGUUAUAUUCAAUAGAUGCGCAAGAAUAAAAAAACGUCCAUGCAGAUAGGAUGUCGUAUAAAACGAUGUUUUCACAGCAUGUUACACGCGUGGUAACGCGUUUCUCGAACUUCCCCGACGUCAAUAUGACGCAAGCAGUCGCAACGAUCUCCGUUUAAAACUUUUUUUCAGUAAUAAAUUGUUCAUCCGCCUUAUUAAAGUUCCGUUUACCAAGUCAUGCGGACAACGCGCUAAGAGAGUCAAUAUAAUUUCCUAAAAAUAGCUAGUGAGUUUUUGUUGCGAGAAUUCUCAUGAAAAAUAGUGUUGCGGCAGCUUCCUAGAAAUACUCGCUAUUUGUUUCCACUAGUAUGUAAUUUUCAUUUAUCGUUAGUUAAAAAUACCUAGAUUUGUUUUGAUUUGAUAUAAAACUAACUCUUUUAAUAUCGAAAUACAGCAUAUUAACGUAAACUAAAAACAUCAGUGCUCCUCUUAACAUUAAACCUUUGUUGUUGUUGUUGUUGUUGUGUCUAUAUUUUCCGAUUCGCGUUAAUUUAAUUAAUUUGUCAACCAUGGAUAUCAGACCUAGAAGCAAUCCGCGUUAAUUUGAUGUCGCGUUAAUUUAUGUGGCGUUAAUAAAGUGCAUCGUUAAUUUCCUAUAAUAAGGUAUAUACCGUAUAACAAAAUUUAAAAGUCAUUAAAAAGACACUUAUUUAAAAAUCAUUGUUUAAAACGUUGUGUGUAUACUUCUGGCAACAUAAAUUGAUGAUCGCGUUCUCUUAAAGGUCGUUGACGUUUUUCCGGUAACAACUCAUAUAGGCAAUGUUCAGGAUUGUGCAUGACCUUAUUGAACAAUAGUCGAUCCCUCUCCUCAAUCACCUUGGCCAUUGAAUAUUUAUUUUGAGUGUAUCCAUGUCGGAAUGCACGAUUAAGAAACUUGUUGUCUGUUGAAUUUAUCAAUGUAUUUCGCUUGCAAAGCCGAUCCCCAUACUUCAAUUGCAUAGUAAAAUAACGAUAGGAUGAAUGAAUCGAACAAUUUAGUAAGUUCAUUUUGCGAACACCCGUAGAAUUUACAAACUCUCAGGAUGUAAAUUCGACUUCCUGCCUUUGACAACAAGCUAUCUACCUGCUUGUCUUGGGACAACGUGGGUUUUCUUGAAAGGUGACACCAAGUAGUUUUAACCACUUUUGACGUCGUAUUCCAUUAAUAGGGGGGGGGGGAUGAACGAGUACAUAGUAACAUUCCCAGGGUUUUUUUAAAUUAAGUGUCAUUCUAUUGUUACUUGCCCAACUCUCAAUGUUGGUUACCUCGUCCAAUUAAGCCGAGUCACCAGACGGUGUGACAGGAACACUCACUGUUAAAUCAUCUGCAGACUUCGCCAAAUUGUUCUUUUGUGGAUGUUUGACUUCAAUAUCAUUGACCAUUAACGAAAA
This 3652-nucleotide long non-coding RNA is filed under the name Paramuricea clavata. Lineage: Eukaryota; Metazoa; Cnidaria; Anthozoa; Malacalcyonacea; Plexauridae. The record is from RNAcentral.